RNAcentral lists this ribosomal RNA (544 nucleotides) under uncultured bacterium. Its description in RNAcentral is "bacterial SSU rRNA". It matches the Rfam family "Bacterial small subunit ribosomal RNA", at positions 314 to 877 of the family's 1533-position model. The record is from RNAcentral.
UGGAACUGAGACACGGUCCAAACUCCUACGGGAGGCAGCAGUGGGGAAUAUUGCACAAUGGGCGAAAGCCUGAUGCAGCAACGCCGCGUGAGCGAUGAAGGCCUUCGGGUCGUAAAGCUCUGUCCUCAAGGAAGAUUAUGACGGUACUUGAGGAGGAAGCCCCGGCUAACUACGUGCCAGCAGCCGCGGUAAUACGUAGGGGGCUAGCGUUAUCCGGAAUUACUGGGCGUAAAGGGUGCGUAGGUGGUUUCUUAAGUCAGAGGUGAAAGGCUACGGCUCAACCGUAGUAAGCCUUUGAAACUGAGAAACUUGAGUGCGGGAGAGGAGAGUAGAAUUCCUAGUGUAGCGGUGAAAUGCGUAGAUAUUAGGAGGAAUACCAGUUGCGAAGGCGGCUCUCUGGACUGUAACUGACACUGAGGCACGAAAGCGUGGGGAGCAAACAGGAUUAGAUACCCUGGUAGUCCACGCCGUAAACGAUGAGUACUAGCUGUCGGAGGUUACCCCCUUCGGUGGCGCAGCUAACGCAUUAAGUACUCCGCCUGGG